Molecule: ribosomal RNA, 253 nt
Filed under: uncultured bacterium
Lineage: Bacteria
Description: partial 16S ribosomal RNA
Rfam family: Bacterial small subunit ribosomal RNA
Source: RNAcentral
UACGAAGGGGGCUAGCGUUGCUCGGAAUGACUGGGCGUAAAGGGCGCGUAGGCGGAUGACACAGUCAGAUGUGAAAUCCCGGGCUUAACCUGGGGGGCUGCAUUUGAUACGUGUUGUCUAGAGUGAGGAAGAGGGUUGUGGAAUUUCCAGUGUAGAGGUGAAAUUCGUAGAUAUUGGGAAGAACACCGGUGGCGAAGGCGGCAACCUGGUCCUUGACUGACGCUGAGGCGCGAAAGCGUGGGGAGCAAACAGG